CCUACGGGAGGCAGCAGUGAGGAAUAUUGGACAAUGGCCGUAAGGCUGAACCAGCGAAGUCGCGUGAACGAAGAAGGAUCUAUGGUUUGUAAACUUCUUUUAUAGGGGAAUAAAGGUAUCCACGUGUGGAUAUUUACAUUUACCCUAUGAAUAAGCAUCGGGUAACUCCGUGCCAGCAGCCGCGGUACUACGGUGGAUACGAGCGAUCUCCGGAUUUAUUGGGUUUAAAGUGACCGUAGGUUGUUUUUUAAGUCAGCGGUGAAAUUUAGUGGCUCAACCAUACAAUUGCUGUUGAGACUGGCAGACUUGAGUUAGAUUGAGGUAGGCGGAAUGCGAGGUGUAGCGGUGAAAUGCAUAGAUAUAACGCAGAACUCCGAUUGCGAAGGCAGCUUACUAAGCCAUAACUGACACUGAAGCACGAAAGCGUGGGGAUCAAACAGGAUUAGAUACCCCUGUAGUC
Molecule: ribosomal RNA, 460 nt
Filed under: uncultured bacterium
Lineage: Bacteria
Description: partial 16S ribosomal RNA
Rfam family: Bacterial small subunit ribosomal RNA
Source: RNAcentral